AGCAGCCGCGGUAAUUCCAGCUCCAAUAGCGUAUAUUAAAGUUGUUGCAGUUAAAAAGCUCGUAGUUGAAUUUUUGAUUCUGCCAAUUGGUCCAUCUUUUAGAUGAGUACUGGUUGUGUGGGGUCUAUCCGCCUGGUAAUACGUAAUGUCCUUUAUUGGAUGUUGCGGGUAGUCAGGACCUUUACCUUGAAAAAAUUAGAGUGUUUAAAGCAGGCUUAUGCCGGAAUACAUUAGCAUGGAAUAAUAGAAUAGGACGAAGUUGUUUUAUUUUGUUGGUUUCUAGGACAACCGUAAUGAUUAAUAGGGAUAGUUGGGGGCAUUAGUAUUCAAUUGUCAGAGGUGAAAUUCUUGGAUUUAUUGAAGACUAACUACUGCGAAAGCAUUUGCCAAGGAUGUUUUCAUUAAUCAAGAACGAAAGUUAGGGGAUCGAAGACGAUCAGAUACCGUCGUAGUCUUAACCAUAAACUAUGCCGACUAGGGAUCGGGCGAUGUUGUUUCCAUGACUCGCUCGGCACCUUAUG
RNAcentral lists this ribosomal RNA (521 nucleotides) under uncultured Archaeosporaceae. RNAcentral's name for it is "SSU rRNA". It matches the Rfam family "Eukaryotic small subunit ribosomal RNA", at positions 569 to 1092 of the family's 1831-position model. Lineage: Eukaryota; Fungi; Glomeromycota; Glomeromycetes; Archaeosporales; Archaeosporaceae. The record is from RNAcentral.